Molecule: small nucleolar RNA, 138 nt
Organism: Tachyglossus aculeatus (Australian echidna)
Lineage: Eukaryota; Metazoa; Chordata; Mammalia; Monotremata; Tachyglossidae
Source: RefSeq, a predicted model, not a curated record
GCCCUCUCAGGAUCACAUCUGGAGAGUUUCCAGUAAUCUACCAGCCUUGGCUAUGGUAGGGAAAGUCAAGCAGAGGUAUACCCACUCGAUUCCUAGCUUGGGCAGGGGCUAGCAAAUGGAAGGCAAUCUGCUACAAGU